Non-coding RNA from Aspergillus tubingensis, 72 nucleotides. Lineage: Eukaryota; Fungi; Ascomycota; Eurotiomycetes; Eurotiales; Aspergillaceae. The record is from the annotation of a RefSeq genome assembly.
GCCCUUGUAGCUCAGUGGUAGAGCGCUUCACUCGUAAUGAAGAGGUCCGCGGUUCAAUCCCGCGUGGGGGCA